RNAcentral lists this ribosomal RNA (817 nucleotides) under Bacillus subtilis. RNAcentral's name for it is "bacterial SSU rRNA". It matches the Rfam family "Bacterial small subunit ribosomal RNA", at positions 532 to 1349 of the family's 1533-position model. Lineage: Bacteria; Bacillati; Bacillota; Bacilli; Caryophanales; Bacillaceae. The record is from RNAcentral.
UGGCAAGCGUUGUCCGGAAUUAUUGGGCGUAAAGGGCUCGCAGGCGGUUUCUUAAGUCUGAUGUGAAAGCCCCCGGCUCAACCGGGGAGGGUCAUUGGAAACUGGGGAACUUGAGUGCAGAAGAGGAGAGUGGAAUUCCACGUGUAGCGGUGAAAUGCGUAGAGAUGUGGAGGAACACCAGUGGCGAAGGCGACUCUCUGGUCUGUAACUGACGCUGAGGAGCGAAAGCGUGGGGAGCGAACAGGAUUAGAUACCCUGGUAGUCCACGCCGUAAACGAUGAGUGCUAAGUGUUAGGGGGUUUCCGCCCCUUAGUGCUGCAGCUAACGCAUUAAGCACUCCGCCUGGGGAGUACGGUCGCAAGACUGAAACUCAAAGGAAUUGACGGGGGCCCGCACAAGCGGUGGAGCAUGUGGUUUAAUUCGAAGCAACGCGAAGAACCUUACCAGGUCUUGACAUCCUCUGACAAUCCUAGAGAUAGGACGUCCCCUUCGGGGGCAGAGUGACAGGUGGUGCAUGGUUGUCGUCAGCUCGUGUCGUGAGAUGUUGGGUUAAGUCCCGCAACGAGCGCAACCCUUGAUCUUAGUUGCCAGCAUUCAGUUGGGCACUCUAAGGUGACUGCCGGUGACAAACCGGAGGAAGGUGGGGAUGACGUCAAAUCAUCAUGCCCCUUAUGACCUGGGCUACACACGUGCUACAAUGGACAGAACAAAGGGCAGCGAAACCGCGAGGUUAAGCCAAUCCCACAAAUCUGUUCUCAGUUCGGAUCGCAGUCUGCAACUCGACUGCGUGAAGCUGGAAUCGCUAGUAAUCGCGGAU